Molecule: ribosomal RNA, 418 nt
Filed under: uncultured Bacillus sp.
Lineage: Bacteria; Bacillati; Bacillota; Bacilli; Caryophanales; Bacillaceae
Description: bacterial SSU rRNA
Rfam family: Bacterial small subunit ribosomal RNA
Source: RNAcentral
UAGGGAAUCUUCCGCAAUGGACGAAAGUCUGACGGAGCAUCGCCGCGUGAGUGAUGAAGGCUUUCGGGUCGUAAAACUCUGUUGUUAGGGAAGAACAAGUGCUAGUUGAAUAAGCUGGCACCUUGACGGUACCUAACCAGAAAGCCACGGCUAACUACGUGCCAGCAGCCGCGGUAAUACGUAGGUGGCAAGCGUCAUCCGGAAUUAUUGGGCGUAAAGCGCGCGCAGGUGGUUUCUUAAGUCUGAUGUGAAAGCCCACGGCUCAACCGUGGAGGGUCAUUGGAGACUGGGAGACUUGAGUGCAGAAGAGGAAAGUGGAAUUCCAUGUGUAGCGGUGAAAUGCGUAGAGAUAUGGAGGAACACCAGUGGCGAAGGCAACUUUCUGGACUGUAACUGACACUGACGCGCGAAAGCGUGG